This 549-nucleotide ribosomal RNA is filed under the name Symphysodon discus. RNAcentral describes it as "partial 16S ribosomal RNA". It matches the Rfam family "Bacterial large subunit ribosomal RNA", at positions 1845 to 2588 of the family's 2925-position model. The record is from RNAcentral. Lineage: Eukaryota; Metazoa; Chordata; Actinopteri; Cichliformes; Cichlidae.
AUAAGAGGUCCCGCCUGCCCAGUGACUUUAAGUUUAACGGCCGCGGUAUUUUGACCGUGCAAAGGUAGCGCAAUCACUUGUCCUUUAAAUGAAGACCUGUAUGAAUGGCACCACGAGGGCUCAACUGUCUCCUUUCUCCUGUCAAUGAAAUUGAUCUCCCCGUGCAGAAGCGGGGAUAAAACCAUAAGACGAGAAGACCCUAUGGAGCUUUAGGCACCAGAACAGACUAUGUUAAGCACCCUAAACACAAAAGACAAAACUAACUAGACCCUAUUCCAAUGCCUUUGGUUGGGGCGACCGCGGGGAAAUAAAAAACCCCCAUGUGGACCAAGAGCACAUCACUCUUACAACCCAGGGCUACAACCCUAAGUAACAGAACUUUCUGACCAGAAUGAUCCGGUAAAACCGAUCAACGAACCGAGUUACCCUAGGGAUAACAGCGCAAUCCCCUUCUAGAGCCCAUAUCGACAAGGGGGUUUACGACCUCGAUGUUGGAUCAGGACAUCCUACUGGUGCAGCCGCUAUUAAGGGUUCGUUGUGUUCAACGAU